Molecule: long non-coding RNA, 797 nt
Filed under: Erythranthe guttata (spotted monkey flower)
Lineage: Eukaryota; Viridiplantae; Streptophyta; Magnoliopsida; Lamiales; Phrymaceae
Description: long non-coding RNA (EGUT_LNC000103)
Source: RNAcentral
CAACUAUUAAUAAAUCAUUUUCUCCGACGAGGCCUGCGGAAUGAAGAUUUCAAUUCGUAAUUAUUCGCAUCGAAAAUUUGUCAAGUCGAAUUAACUUCAAUGAAUAUGUUAACACCUUCGCAUUACAAUCAUGUGAUUGAUUUCAGCCACAUACAAACAAUUUUAAAUUUUAUAAAUAUAUAUAUAUAUAUAUAUAUAUAUAUAUAUAUAUAUAUAUAUAUAUAUAUAAUUCAGCAUUAAUAUUCAGUUGCAAAAUAUACAUUUUGCUUUAAUCUAACGAUUAGUUCAUCAAAUCACCACUCACAGUGACAGCUGCCAAAUCAAAACUUAUAAUGCCAAAAUCACAAUGCAGUAUACCCUUAUACGCAGUUUAGCAACAAAGAUUUCAGCCACAUACAAACAAUUUUAAUUUUUUUUUAAAAUAUAAUUCAGCAUUAUUAUUCAGUAGCAAAAUAUACAUUAUGCUUUAAUUUAACGAGUAAAUCAUCAAAUCAUCAAUCACAGGCACAGCUGCCAAAUCAAAGCAUAUAAUCCCAAAAUCACAGUGCAGUAUACACUAAUACGCAAUUUAGCAACUAAAAAUUCCACUUAACUUUAAAACAAAUGGAAGAAUCACAGAUAACAACCGAAUCGACACACACAGAUACCUGCGUCUGCGUGGUUGGGGUAGAGAAAAGGAGACGAUGAUACCUACGGUGGACGAAGCAUUGAUUUUGAACGAAAUCGAAGUGGACACCCAACACGACGCCGUAUAAUGUGGCGACGCGACGGUGGCCCGAUUGAAUCUCCCGGCGAAU